GACGAACGCUGGCGGCGUGCUUAACACAUGCAAGUCGAACGGAAAGGCCCUGCUUUUGUGGGGUGCUCGAGUGGCGAACGGGUGAGUAACACGUGAGUAACCUGCCCUUGACUUUGGGAUAACUUCAGGAAACUGGGGCUAAUACCGGAUAGGAGCUCCUGCUGCAUGGUGGGGGUUGGAAAGUUUCGGCGGUUGGGGAUGGACUCGCGGCUUACCAGCUUGUUGGUGGGGUAGUGGCUUACCAAGGCUUUGACGGGUAGCCGGCCUGAGAGGGUGACCGGCCACAUUGGGACUGAGAUACGGCGCAGACUCCUACGGGAGGCAGCAGUGGGGAAUAUUGCACAAUGGGUGGACGCCUGAUGCAGAAACGCCGCGUGCGGGAUGACGGCCUUCGGGUUGUAAACCGCUUUCGCCUGUGACGAAGCGUGAGUGACGGUAAUGGGUAAAGAAGCACCGGCUAACUACGUG
RNAcentral lists this ribosomal RNA (468 nucleotides) under uncultured bacterium. RNAcentral describes it as "partial 16S ribosomal RNA". It matches the Rfam family "Bacterial small subunit ribosomal RNA", at positions 28 to 507 of the family's 1533-position model. The record is from RNAcentral.